Molecule: ribosomal RNA, 277 nt
Filed under: uncultured bacterium
Lineage: Bacteria
Description: partial 16S ribosomal RNA
Rfam family: Bacterial small subunit ribosomal RNA
Source: RNAcentral
UUUCCUACGGGAGGCAGCAGUGGGGAAUAUUGCACAAUGGGGGAAACCCUGAUGCAGCGACGCCGCGUGGGUGAAGAAGUAUUGCGGUACGUAAAGCCCUAUCAGCAGGGAAGAAGAAUGACGGUACCUGACUAAGAAGCACCGGCUAAAUACGUGCCAGCAGCCGCGGUAAUACGUAUGGUGCAAGCGUUAUCCGGAUUUACUGGGUGUAAAGGGAGCGCAGGCGGCACGCUGAGCCUGAUGUGAAAACCCGCGGCCCAACCGCGGUAGUGCAUUG